UGGGGAAUUUUGGACAAUGGGCGCAAGCCUGAUCCAGCCAUGCCGCGUGCGGGAAGAAGGCCUUCGGGUUGUAAACCGCUUUUGUCAGGGAAGAAAUCUUCUGAGUUAAUACCUCGGGAGGAUGACGGUACCUGAAGAAUAAGCACCGGCUAACUACGUGCCAGCAGCCGCGGUAAUACGUAGGGUGCAAGCGUUAAUCGGAAUUACUGGGCGUAAAGCGUGCGCAGGCGGUUUUGUAAGACAGAGGUGAAAUCCCCGGGCUCAACCUGGGAACUGCCUUUGUGACUGCAAGGCUUGAGUGCGGCAGAGGGGGAUGGAAUUCCGCGUGUAGCAGUGAAAUUGCGUAGAUAUGCGGAGGAACACCGAUGGCGAAGGCAAUCCCCUGGGCCUGCACUGACGCUCAUGCACGAAAGCGUGGGGAGCAAACAGGAUUAGAUACCCUGGUAGUCCACGCCCUAAACGAUGUCAACUGGUUGUUGGGAAGGUUCCUUCUCAGUAACGUAGCUAACGCGUGAAGUUGACCGCCUGGGGAGUACGGCCGCAAGGUUGAAACUAAA
RNAcentral lists this ribosomal RNA (557 nucleotides) under uncultured bacterium. RNAcentral describes it as "partial 16S ribosomal RNA". It matches the Rfam family "Bacterial small subunit ribosomal RNA", at positions 355 to 904 of the family's 1533-position model. The record is from RNAcentral.